This 407-nucleotide ribosomal RNA is filed under the name uncultured bacterium. Its description in RNAcentral is "partial 16S ribosomal RNA". It matches the Rfam family "Bacterial small subunit ribosomal RNA", at positions 30 to 526 of the family's 1533-position model. The record is from RNAcentral.
AUUGAACGCUGGCGGCAGGCCUAACACAUGCAAGUCGAGCGGAGCGGCUGACGGGUGAGUAAUGCCUAGGAAUCUGCCUGGUCGUGGGGGAUAACGUCCGGAAACGGGCGCUAAUCUCGCAUACUAUCAGAUUAGCCUAGGGCGGCUGAGCUAUUUGGUGGGGUAAAGGCCUACCAAGGCGACGAUCCGUAACUGGGCUGAGAGGAUGAUCGGUCAAACUGGAACUGGGACACGGUCCAGACUCCUACGGAGGGAAGCAGGGGGGAAUAUUGGAAAAUGGGCGAAAGCCGUAUGCAGACAUGCCGCGGGUGUGAAGAGGGUCUUCGGAUUGUAAAGCACUUUAAGUUGGGAGGCGUUACCAACAGAAUAAGCACCGGCUAACUUCGUGCCAGCAGCCGCGGUAAUAC